UGCCCUUAACUCUGGGAUAAGCCUGGUAAACUGGGUCUAAUACCGGAUAGGAGCGCCUACCGCAUGGUGGGUGUUGGAAAGAUUUAUCGGUUUUGGAUGGACUCGCGGCCUAUCAGCUUGUUGGUGAGGUAAUGGCUCACCAAGGCGACGACGGGUAGCCGGCCUGAGAGGGUGACCGGCCACACUGGGACUGAUACACGGCCCACACUCCUACGGGAGGCAGCAGUGGGGAAUAUUGCACAAUGGGGGCAAGCCUGAUGCUGCGACGCCGCGUGAGGGAUGACGGCCUUCGGGUUGUAAACCUCUUUCUUUAGGGAAGAAGCGAAAGUGACGGUACCUGCAGAAGAAGCACCGGCUAACUACGUGCCAACAGCCGCGGUAAUACGUAGGGUGCGAGCGUUAUCCGGAAUUAUUGGGCGUAAA
This 423-nucleotide ribosomal RNA is filed under the name Micrococcus luteus. RNAcentral describes it as "bacterial SSU rRNA". It matches the Rfam family "Bacterial small subunit ribosomal RNA", at positions 127 to 564 of the family's 1533-position model. The record is from RNAcentral. Lineage: Bacteria; Bacillati; Actinomycetota; Actinomycetes; Micrococcales; Micrococcaceae.